This 420-nucleotide ribosomal RNA is filed under the name uncultured bacterium. Its description in RNAcentral is "bacterial SSU rRNA". It matches the Rfam family "Bacterial small subunit ribosomal RNA", at positions 43 to 507 of the family's 1533-position model. The record is from RNAcentral.
CAGGCCUAACACAUGCAAGUCGAGCGAUCGCAGCAAUGCCGGAGCGGCAUACGGGUGAGUAACACGUGGGAACGUACCCUUCGGUUCGGAAUAACUCAGGGAAACUUGAGCUAAUACCGGAUACGUCCGAGAGGAGAAAGAUUUAUCGCCGAAGGAUCGGCCCGCGUCUGAUUAGCUAGUUGGUGAGGUAAUGGCUCACCAAGGCGACGAUCAGUAGCUGGUCUGAGAGGAUGAUCAGCCACACUGGGACUGAGACACGGCCCAGACUCCUACGGGAGGCAGCAGUGGGGAAUAUUGGACAAUGGGGGCAACCCUGAUCCAGCCAUGCUGCGUGAGUGAUGAAGGCCCUANGGUUGUAAAGCUCUUUCACCGGUGAAGAUAAUGACGGUAACCGGAGAAGAAGCCCCGGCUAAUCGCCCC